GCUUCACAAGACAGUGAAACCUGAGCGUCUCUUAAGUUACUAAGAAACUUUUGUCUGUUUUAGAUUUUUCUGAUGUCUGGAAGGACACACUUUGAUAGGUGAGUUCCUGUUAUUCUGUGGGAAAGCAGGCUGCGGCUGUCAACAGAGACACAUUUUUGUGUGAGAGAAGAAUAUAUCCAUGGUUUGGUGCGUCUGUACAGAUCAUGAUGUGAAGCACAGCAGGUUGUCUAUGCAAGUGUCCACAAGAGGGAUGGCGACCAAACGAUUGAGUAGAUGGAGUUUUGGAUUCUGGAGCCAUCUGGAUUAUGUGUUUUUCCUGUUCCUGUUCCUGCUGUGCCUUCCAGUAACAUCAAGCACAAAUGCCACAACAGUUGGGUUUUCAGCCGUCACAACACCUACAGGACCCCCAAAUUCAACAACAGUGACAGGAGCAACCACAGCUAACAUUACCACAAUGCAUUCAUCUUCAACCGAAGGUCACAGUAGCUCAUCAACACUGCCAUUAACAACAAGCCAUGUUACUGUGCAAAAUACAACAACAAUGGUGGAAACCACAGCCACAUCUUCUAACAUAAGCACAACAAUCCCAGCAACAACAUUUACGAAGGAAUUACAUAGCACUGAUAAUCGACCUGUGGAAACCACACCAUACACAUCCACUGAAAACAUGACUUCUUUUGAAACAACUGCAAACUUCACAUCCACUGAAAACACGACUUCUUUUGAAACAACCGCAAGCUUCACAUCCACUGAAAACACGACUUCUUUUGAAACAUCUGCAAACUUCACAUCCACUGAAAACACGACUUCUUUUGAAACAACCGCAAGCUUCACAUCCACUGAAAACACGACUUCUUUUGAAACAUCUGCAAACUUCACAUCCACUGAAAACACGACUUCUUUUGAAACAACCGCAAGCUUCACAUCCACUGAAAACACGACUUCUUUUGAAACAUCUGCAAACUUCACAUCCACUGAAAACACGACUUCUUUUGAAACAACUGCAAACUUCACAACAUUUACAGCAACAACCGAACCAUCGUCCUCCGCCAAUAUAACUGAUGCAACACCACUGCUGACAACCAUUAACCAAACAUUAACACCAUCUGUGUUUUACUGGAUGACUAUAUCCUAUGAGGUAACAGUAGGACACCAACGUGAACAAAAUCUCAAAACAAUGUUUGAGUGGUUGUUCAAAGGCAACCUAGACGCAUGUGCAGUUUCCAGUGAGACUGGUACUGUGGAACGUUCUGUGGUGUCACAAUCAGACAGCAUAUCUGACGACGGGAUUUAUAAUGUGCUCACCAGUUCAGAAACAAAGAAAACGGGCCUGUUUGAAGCCAUGGAGUUCACAUGCGAACCAAAAAAUAUUACAAUGUUAGUAUCAGUUGUUGCACUAAUCCUUUUUUAA
This 1411-nucleotide long non-coding RNA is filed under the name Sinocyclocheilus anshuiensis. RNAcentral's name for it is "lncRNA (ENSSANG00000044756.1)". Lineage: Eukaryota; Metazoa; Chordata; Actinopteri; Cypriniformes; Cyprinidae. The record is from RNAcentral.